This 199-nucleotide microRNA precursor is filed under the name Oryza nivara. Its description in RNAcentral is "MIR812 microRNA precursor family". It matches the Rfam family "MIR812 microRNA precursor family". Lineage: Eukaryota; Viridiplantae; Streptophyta; Magnoliopsida; Poales; Poaceae. The record is from Rfam by way of RNAcentral.
CCUCUGUAUAAUUUUCAUACUCAACUUUAAUAAUAUGUCUUAUUUAGAAUUUUUUUAUAGAUUAGUAUUUUUAUUGUUAUGAGAUGUUAAAAUAUGAAUAGUAGUUUAUAUGUGACUUAUGUUUUUUUAAAAAAAAUUUAAAAAAAUAAAUAAGAAGAACGGUCAAAAUUAUGCACGAAAAAUGAUAGCUGCAUUUAAA